AGAGACAGCCUACGGGCGGCUGCAGUGGGGAAUAUUGGACAAUGGGCGCAAGCCUGAUCCAGCCAUACCGCGUGGGUGAAGAAGGCCUUCGGGUUGUAAAGCCCUUUUGUUGGGAAAGAAAUCCAGCUGGUUAAUACCCGGUUGGGAUGACGGUACCCAAAGAAUAAGCACCGGCUAACUUCGUGCCAGCAGCCGCGGUAAUACGAAGGGUGCAAGCGUUACUCGGAAUUACUGGGCGUAAAGCGUGCGUAGGUGGUCGUUUAAGUCUGUUGUGAAAGCCCUGGGCUCAACCUGGGAACUGCAGUGGAAACUGGACGACUAGAGUGUGGUAGAGGGUAGCGGAAUUCCUGGUGUAGCAGUGAAAUGCGUAGAGAUCAGGAGGAACAUCCAUGGCGAAGGCAGCUACCUGGACCAACACUGACACUGAGGCACGAAAGCGUGGGGAGCAAACAGGAUUAGAUACCCCAGUAGUCCUGUCUCU
RNAcentral lists this ribosomal RNA (481 nucleotides) under Klebsiella pneumoniae. RNAcentral's name for it is "bacterial SSU rRNA". It matches the Rfam family "Bacterial small subunit ribosomal RNA", at positions 331 to 803 of the family's 1533-position model. The record is from RNAcentral. Lineage: Bacteria; Pseudomonadati; Pseudomonadota; Gammaproteobacteria; Enterobacterales; Enterobacteriaceae.